GACUCUGUAGUUCAGUUGGUUAGAGCACUGCGACGGUAUCGCAGGGCCGCAGGUUCGAUUCCUGCCAGGGACC
RNAcentral lists this transfer RNA (73 nucleotides) under Paramuricea clavata. It matches the Rfam family "tRNA". Rfam says of the family: Transfer RNA (tRNA) molecules are approximately 80 nucleotides in length. Their secondary structure includes four short double-helical elements and three loops (D, anti-codon, and T loops). Further hydrogen bonds mediate the characteristic L-shaped molecular structure. tRNAs have two regions of fundamental functional importance: the anti-codon, which is responsible for specific mRNA codon recognition, and the 3' end, to which the tRNAs corresponding amino acid is attached (by aminoacyl-tRNA synthetases). tRNAs cope with the degeneracy of the genetic code in two manners: having more than one tRNA (with a specific anti-codon) for a particular amino acid; and 'wobble' base-pairing, i.e. permitting non-standard base-pairing at the 3rd anti-codon position. The record is from Rfam by way of RNAcentral. Lineage: Eukaryota; Metazoa; Cnidaria; Anthozoa; Malacalcyonacea; Plexauridae.